AGCCCUCAGCCUGCCGAUAGCCUCUGGACCCUCUAGGUUCCCCCCUCAGCCGCUCAGCUCAACUCCUGUACAGUGAACCCACUCGUGACCAGUCCUGGACCUGUUAACUCUGUGUGCAUUUCUGAAUCCACUCGUGACCAGACGAGUUCCCCUUGGGAUCUGUUUAUUUAUUGUAUUCCAUCUUCU
This is a long non-coding RNA of Cyprinodon tularosa, 186 nucleotides long. RefSeq lists it as uncharacterized. The transcript is spliced from 2 exons. Lineage: Eukaryota; Metazoa; Chordata; Actinopteri; Cyprinodontiformes; Cyprinodontidae. The record is from RefSeq and is a predicted model, not a curated record.